UCUUUGAAAAGGGAAUAUUUAGAACCAGAUGAAAAACAGUGUGUCGACCACACUGGCUGGAAUAUAACUCAAGGGAUAGAAUUCCGAUCAGCAGAGAUGCGAACAGGUGAAAUCCUUAGCUAGUUAGGUAACUAACCCGCUCGGAGCUACUCAGUGGCAAGGGAGUUAUAGGUGCAGCUAUAUCAGUGUCAAAAAUAAUGCUAAACUGUUCGGGGCAAAUCGGGAGACCAACAUGGGCGUACCCACAUAUCCCACUACUGGAGACAGUGGUAAGGGCAAUGAGUGAAGAUCGCUAAAGCCUUUGCGUAAUUGAAGCAUCGCAAGAUGUGUAUAAGAACAGACGGCAGUCCAAGUAGCCUAAAUUUACGCUUCUAUUAACAAUUAUGAUUGCGUUUAGUGCGAAAAAAGCAAUUUACUGUACACAAAAGGUGUAAAUGUCUAUCGCAGGUGAAAGGUGCAACGAAAGAUGUUGUCAGGGCAAGUCGGAAGCCUAUGGCUUUGGCUAAACGUGGAGGUGCAGGCAUGCACCAAGGGCGGUUAGUCCCCUGUGUGUGAAUAUUGGCUGGGAUAUGGUGUGUAUAAGGAGGACUUACUAAAUAUUCUUUUUUCAAA
Molecule: non-coding RNA, 612 nt
Filed under: unclassified sequences
Description: ROOL RNA
Rfam family: ROOL RNA
About the family: Firmicutes, Fusobacteria (1 example), Tenericutes (1 example). Environment (Cow rumen (57))
Source: Rfam by way of RNAcentral